GGAAUCUUCCACAAUGGACGAAAGUCUGAUGGAGCAACGCCGCGUGAGUGAAGAAGGGUUUCGGCUCGUAAAACUCUGUUGUUAAAGAAGAACAUAUCUGAGAGUAACUGUUCAGGUAUUGACGGUAUUUAGCCAGAAAGCCACGGCUAACUACGNGCCAG
This 161-nucleotide ribosomal RNA is filed under the name uncultured bacterium. RNAcentral's name for it is "partial 16S rRNA". It matches the Rfam family "Bacterial small subunit ribosomal RNA", at positions 358 to 511 of the family's 1533-position model. The record is from RNAcentral.